CCGGCAGGCCCACGACGGCCCAGUCCGUGAAAAAACCCCAAAACCCAACUAGAGGCCAUCGACAUUUCAAGAAGAUCCAUCGACAUUUCAGAAAAAACCUUCGACAUUUUGCAGAAAAGCAUGUUCGACAUUCCCAAGAAAAGGGGAUAGGCGUCGACAUUUAACAAGGAAGUCGAUACCUUCAAAAGAGAAGGUCAGGAUCGACAUUCCGCAGGUAAGCAUGUUCGACAUUCCCAGGAAAAGGGAUAGGCGUCGACAUUUAACAAGGAAGUCGAUACCUUCAAAAGAGAAGGUCAGGAUCGACAUUCCGCAGGUAAGCAUGUUCGACAUUCCCAGGAAAAGGGGAUAGGCGUCGACAUUUGGCAAGGAACUCGAAACCUUCAAAAGAGAAGGUCAGGCUCGACAUUCCACACCACUCUCCUCGACAUCCUCAGAAAAAGGUGAGAUCGACAUUUUUAGACAACAUCGACAUUUCCAGGGAGAAAUGAGAUCGACUUGUCAAAAAUUCGACACCUUUAGAAA
RNAcentral lists this long non-coding RNA (522 nucleotides) under Zostera marina. RNAcentral describes it as "long non-coding RNA (ZMAR_LNC005032)". Lineage: Eukaryota; Viridiplantae; Streptophyta; Magnoliopsida; Alismatales; Zosteraceae. The record is from RNAcentral.